RNAcentral lists this unclassified non-coding RNA (599 nucleotides) under Talaromyces minnesotensis. RNAcentral's name for it is "sequence contains 18S rRNA gene, ITS1, 5.8S rRNA gene, ITS2, 28S rRNA gene". The stretch from base 228 to 381 matches the Rfam family "5.8S ribosomal RNA". The record is from RNAcentral. Lineage: Eukaryota; Fungi; Ascomycota; Eurotiomycetes; Eurotiales; Trichocomaceae.
UCGUAACAAGGUUUCCGUAGGUGAACCUGCGGAAGGAUCAUUACUGAGUGCGGGCCCCUCGCGGGUCCAACCUCCCACCCGUGUCUCUUGAAUACCCUGUUGCUUUGGCGGGCCCACCGGGCCACCCCCGGUCGCCGGGGGGCACCGCGCCCCCGGGCCCGCGCCCGCCAGAGCGCCUCUGAACCCUAAUGAAGAAGGACUGUCUGAGUCUACGAUAUAAUUAUCAAAACUUUCAACAAUGGAUCUCUUGGUUCCGGCAUCGAUGAAGAACGCAGCGAAAUGCGAUAAGUAAUGUGAAUUGCAGAAUUCCGUGAAUCAUCGAAUCUUUGAACGCACAUUGCGCCCCCUGGCAUUCCGGGGGGCAUGCCUGUCCGAGCGUCAUUUCUGCCCUCAAGCCCGGCUUGUGUGUUGGGCGUGGUCCCCCCGGUGUCGGGGGGACCUGCCCCAAAGGCAGCGGCGACGUUCCGCCUAGGUCCUCGAGCGUAUGGGGCUUUGUCACCCGCUCGGGAGGGGCCUACGGGCGUUGGCCAUCCACCAAUUUUUUACGGUUGACCUCGGAUCAGGUAGGAGUUACCCGCUGAACUUAAGCAUAUCAAUAA